CCGGAAGACCAAGGGUUCCUGUCCAACGUUAAUCGGGGCAGGGUGAGUCGACCCCUAAGGCGAGGCCGAAAGGCGUAGUCGAUGGGAAACGGGUUAAUAUUCCCGUACUUGGUGUUACUGCGAAGGGGGGACGGAGAAGGCUAUGUUGGCCGGGCGACGGUUGUCCCGGUUUAAGCGUGUAGGUGUGUGUUCCAGGUAAAUCCGGUUCACUUUAACACUGAGGCGUGACGACGAGGCACUACGGUGCUGAAGCAACAAAUGCCCUGCUUCCAGGAAAAGCCUCUAAGCAUCAGGUAACAUCAAAUCGUACCCCAAACCGACACAGGUGGUCAGGUAGAGAAUACCAAGGCGCUUGAGAGAACUCGGGUGAAGGAACUAGGCAAAAUGGUGCCGUAACUUCGGGAGAAGGCACGCUGACACGUAGGUGAAGUGAUUUACUCAUGGAGCUGAAGUCAGUCGAAGAUACCAGCUGGCUGCAACUGUUUAUUAAAAACACAGCACUGUGCAAACACGAAAGUGGACGUAUACGGUGUGACGCCUGCCCGGUGCCGGAAGGUUAAUUGAUG
This 566-nucleotide ribosomal RNA is filed under the name Salmonella enterica. RNAcentral describes it as "partial 23S ribosomal RNA". It matches the Rfam family "Bacterial large subunit ribosomal RNA", at positions 1337 to 1886 of the family's 2925-position model. Lineage: Bacteria; Pseudomonadati; Pseudomonadota; Gammaproteobacteria; Enterobacterales; Enterobacteriaceae. The record is from RNAcentral.